This is a long non-coding RNA of Haliotis rubra (blacklip abalone), 285 nucleotides long. RefSeq lists it as uncharacterized. The transcript has 2 exons. The record is from RefSeq and is a predicted model, not a curated record. NCBI's taxonomy places the organism in Eukaryota, Metazoa, Mollusca, Gastropoda, Lepetellida, Haliotidae.
AUAGUGGUGUACCAAGAAGGGAUAGUGGUGUACCAAGAAGGGAAAGUGGUGUACAAUGUAGGGAAAGUGGUGUUCCAAGAAGGGAUAGUGGUGUACCAAGAAGGGAUAGUGGUGUACCAAGAAGGGAUAGUGGUGUACCAAGAAGGGAAAGUGGUGUACAAUGUAGGGAAAUGGUGUACCAAGAAGGGAUAGUGGUGUACCAAGAAGGGAUAGUGGUGUACCAAGAAGGGAUAGUGGUGUACCAAGAAGUGAUAGUGCUGUACAAAGAAGGGAUAGCGGUGCACA